Molecule: ribosomal RNA, 424 nt
Filed under: Lactobacillus delbrueckii subsp. bulgaricus
Lineage: Bacteria; Bacillati; Bacillota; Bacilli; Lactobacillales; Lactobacillaceae
Description: bacterial SSU rRNA
Rfam family: Bacterial small subunit ribosomal RNA
Source: RNAcentral
CAAAUUGAGAGUUUGAUCCUGGCUCAGGACGAACGCUGGCGGCGUGCCUAAUACAUGCAAGUCGAGCGAGCUGAAUUCAAAGAUCCCUUCGGGGUGAUUUGUUGGACGCUAGCGGCGGAUGGGUGAGUAACACGUGGGCAAUCUGCCCUAAAGACUGGGAUACCACUUGGAAACAGGUGCUAAUACCGGAUAACAACAUGAAUCGCAUGAUUCAAGUUUGAAAGGCGGCGUAAGCUGUCACUUUAGGAUGAGCCCGCGGCGCAUUAGCUAGUUGGUGGGGUAAAGGCCUACCAAGGCAAUGAUGCGUAGCCGAGUUGAGAGACUGAUCGGCCACAUUGGGACUGAGACACGGCCCAAACUCCUACGGGAGGCAGCAGUAGGGAAUCUUCCACAAUGGACGCAAGUCUGAUGGAGCAACGCCGCG